GGGUGGUUACAGGUAACAUUGGGUGUGAUACAACGAGUGUGUGCUAGAAAGGUAGGGAAUAUCAGGAAUCAUGAAGACAUCUGCUGAUCCAUGUGGUGUUUGAUAUCUUCUCAUCUGUGGUAUUGACCAAUAGAAACAAUAUGAUCAUAUCAGCAAGAGAGGAGGAGAUCAAAUCUAAUGGGUUCCAAGCAGAUCAUUUACAGUUAGCAGCCAGUGUCACAAAUACCGGAUAAAUCACCUCUGUUGUCCCGAUUUACUGGAAUGUUUCGAAGAAUGCUUCUGAUGAGUUGACCCACAUCAUCCUGACGCAUGCUGUUUCCCCUAUUUAAGGCGACACCAGCGAGUUCAUUGAGAACGGCAUGUGGACUGUGACGUUGAAGUACCCAUCCCAGACAGAGGAUAUGUUCGGACUAGUGGCCAUGGCCUGACAUAGAUGUUUUGUCAAGCAACUAGGCCCCUCAGUAAAUACUGGAUUGUGAUUGGUUAACCAAAGUCAUUCAGAGGUUUGGAAAGCGUGGCAUCGACCAUCCACAGUCAUACCAUGCAGGAAUCGUAGAUGGUAACCACCAGCAGUUCAACACCUGCCAUUACCAACAAUGUGCCAAAGCCUUUCUCCCACUGAACGCUUCGAAAACUUUAUAGGGAGACGUGUGCAUCAACUCAUAUCCAACCGAC
Molecule: long non-coding RNA, 675 nt
Organism: Haliotis rubra (blacklip abalone)
Lineage: Eukaryota; Metazoa; Mollusca; Gastropoda; Lepetellida; Haliotidae
Exons: 3
Source: RefSeq, a predicted model, not a curated record